UGGUUUUGAGAGGGUAGGGAAACUGUGAAGAUCAAUCGCGGUGUGAAGCUAAAGCUAAAGCAAAAGAAAUUUGAGAAUGGACGUGAUAAAGACUCAGCAAAUACAGUCGAGGCCAAUCGAGAAGGUGAUAGUGCAUCCACUGGUUCUACUGAGCAUCGUCGAUAACUACACUCGAGUCGCCAAGGACACUCACAGGCGAGUCAUUGGGGUUUUACUCGGUAGCUCUUUUAAAGGCACGGUCGAUGUCACCAACAGCUACGCAGUGCCCUUUGAAGAAGAAGACAAGGACCCAAGUAUAUGGUUUCUUGACCACAACUACCAUGAAUCUAUGUUUUCAAUGUUCAAAAGAAUAAAUGCCAAGGAGCAUGUAGUAGGUUGGUAUAGUACAGGCCCAAAGCUACGGGAGAAUGACCUAGAUAUUCACCAGUUAUUCCACAACUAUGUCCAAAAUCCUGUCUUGGUCAUUAUUGAUGUUCAGCCUAAGGAGUUGGGAAUACCCACCAAGGCCUACUAUGAUGUUGAAGAGGUUAAAGAGAAUGCUACGCAAAAGAGCCAGAAGGUUUUUGUUCAUGUGCCUUCAGAAAUUGCAGCUCAUGAGGUUGAGGAGAUUGGAGUUGAACACUUACUACGGGAUGUGAAGGACACAACCAUCAGCACACUUGCAACUGAGGUUACGGGUAAACUUACAGCCUUGAAGGGUUUGGAUGCACGCCUACGAGAAAUACGAGGCUAUCUUGAUCUUGUCAUUGAUGGAAAGCUACCAUUGAAUCAUGAGAUACUCUACCAUUUACAGGAUGUGUUCAACCUACUGCCAAAUCUUAAUGUGACUGAGUUGAUCAAGGCUUUUGCUGUGAAAACAAAUGAUAUGAUGUUGGUUACAUAUCUAUCAUCUCUCAUUCGAAGCGUCAUAGCACUCCACAACUUGAUUAAUAAUAAGAUGCUCAACAAAGAACACGAGAAAGCGGAGGAUGCAAAACCAGCAGCAAUCCCAGCUGCCAAUGGAAGCUGAAAAUCUAUUCUUCAGGGUUUGGGACUCCAGUCAUGACAGCUCCUCCAGAGCGAGUGGACUAGCUUAUGGUGUAAGACAUUUGAGGCAAUUUUGUGUCAGUAGUAAAAUACUAGAAUGAAAGAUGACAAAGCCCUCUAGAGACCUUGAUUUGUGAGAUGGCAGUAAUGAAAUGUGUUCUGCGAAGCAUUGUAAACCAUUCUAAAUUGAAAUCAACUUUCCAAUACAUUUUGUUUAGUUGCUGGAAU
This 1254-nucleotide unclassified non-coding RNA is filed under the name Hevea brasiliensis (rubber tree). The record is from RNAcentral. Lineage: Eukaryota; Viridiplantae; Streptophyta; Magnoliopsida; Malpighiales; Euphorbiaceae.